CAGCAGCCGCGGGAAUACGAAGGGGGCUAGCGUUGUUCGGAAUUACUGGGCGUAAAGGGCGUGUAGGCGGCCUGGGGCGUCCCAUGUGAAAGGCCACGGCUCAACCGUGGAGGAGCGUGGGAUACGCUCAGGCUAGAGGGUGGGAGAGGGUGGUGAAAUUCCCGGAGUAGCGGUGAAAUGCGCAGAUACCGGGAGGAACGCCGAUGGCGAAGGCAGCCACCUGGUCCACUUCUGACGCUGAGGCGCGAAAGCGUGGGGAGCAAACCGGAUUAGAUACCCCGGUAGUCCCUGUCUCUUAUAC
This 301-nucleotide ribosomal RNA is filed under the name uncultured bacterium. Its description in RNAcentral is "partial 16S ribosomal RNA". It matches the Rfam family "Bacterial small subunit ribosomal RNA", at positions 509 to 807 of the family's 1533-position model. The record is from RNAcentral.